GGAGGACCCAGUCAUUCUCUGGUUUCACAAAUAUUUAUGGAAAACCAACCGCUUUCCAGGUUCCGUUUUAGGCACUUUACAGAAUCACUUGCCAACGUCAGCAAGAGGCCCGCCUUAAUGAAGCCUGUCUCCUAUCGCGGAAGCUUACGGUGACAACGGCCCUGAUAAAUGACCAGAGAUUGGAAGCUUCUAGAAGGAAUGACCGUUGGACUGUUAAUGAGAAGCAAAGCUUGGAUUGACCUUUUUAGUUUUCUCUCUAGGGCCCCUGCUGAUCUGACCCCCAUGAGAGCCCAGAUAAGCAGUGGAGUCUGCCCAGUCCUGCUGUUCCCAAGGUGCCAGAGCAGGUCUGGGACACAGGGACAGCCUUCUCCCCAGGCUCCCAGCCCGGCUCAGGGGACAAGUGUCCUGCCUGAAGCAGCCCCCUCCUGUCUCCUUCUUGGACCUCAGCUCCUACAAGCAACGUGCACCAUUUUCUUUUCCACUGAAACAAGCUUUUAA
Long non-coding RNA from Prionailurus viverrinus (fishing cat), 498 nucleotides. RefSeq lists it as uncharacterized. NCBI's taxonomy places the organism in Eukaryota, Metazoa, Chordata, Mammalia, Carnivora, Felidae. The record is from RefSeq and is a predicted model, not a curated record. The transcript is spliced from 3 exons.